RNAcentral lists this ribosomal RNA (720 nucleotides) under Acanthaspis sp. 00052205. RNAcentral's name for it is "SSU rRNA". It matches the Rfam family "Eukaryotic small subunit ribosomal RNA", at positions 509 to 1144 of the family's 1831-position model. RNAcentral also lists the same sequence under 1 other name. Lineage: Eukaryota; Metazoa; Arthropoda; Insecta; Hemiptera; Reduviidae. The record is from RNAcentral.
UCGGAAUGAGUACACUUUAAAUCCUUUAACAAGGAUCCAUUGGAGGGCAAGUCUGGUGCCAGCAGCCGCGGUAAUUCCAGCUCCAAUAGCGUAUAUUAAAGUUGUUGCGGUUAAAAAGCUCGUAGUUGGUUCUGCGUGCCGCGCUGUCGGUUCGCCGCCUGUCGGUGUAACUGGCAUGUCGCGGCAUGUCCUGUCGGUGGUGAACGGGAUUCCCGGUGCAGCUAAGGCUUUACAGCCGAAGUUGGUGCCGUGCGAAUGCCGUUUGCCGAUCUCUCCUACUCCGGUGCUCUUAAACGAGUGUCGAGGUAGGCCGACACGUUCACUUUGAACAAAUUAGAGUGCUUAAAGCAGGCUGAAAUAUCUGCCUGAAUAGUGGUGCAUGGAAUGAUAAAAUAGGACCUCGGUUCUAUUUUGUUGGUUUUAGGAAUGUGAGGUAAUGAUCAAUGUGGACUGGCGGGGGCAUUCGUAUUGCGACGUUAGAGGUGAAAUUCUUGGAUCGUCGCAAGACGCACUAAAGCGAAAGCAUUUGCCAAGUAUGUCUUAAUUGAUCAAGAACGAAAGUUAGAGGUUCGAAGGCGAUCAGAUACCGCCCUAGUUCUAACCAUAAACGAUGCCAGCCAGCGAUCCGCCGAUGUUCCAUUAAUGACUCGGCGGGGAGCUUCCACCCGGGAAACCAAAGCUUUUGGGUUCCGGGGGAAGUAUGGUUGCAAAGCUGAAACU